UUUCUUAUAGUGUAUCACAACACACAAUAUCUUCAUUAUUGAAAAGCACCAAAGCUAAGAAAA
RNAcentral lists this transfer RNA (63 nucleotides) under Pseudocellus gertschi. RNAcentral describes it as "tRNA-Glu". Lineage: Eukaryota; Metazoa; Arthropoda; Arachnida; Ricinulei; Ricinoididae. The record is from RNAcentral.